This 448-nucleotide ribosomal RNA is filed under the name uncultured bacterium. Its description in RNAcentral is "bacterial SSU rRNA". It matches the Rfam family "Bacterial small subunit ribosomal RNA", at positions 329 to 792 of the family's 1533-position model. The record is from RNAcentral.
GCCCAGACUCCUACGGGAGGCAGCAGUGGGGAAUAUUGGGCAAUGGGCGCAAGCCUGACCCAGCAACGCCGCGUGAAGGAAGAAGGCUUCCGGGUUGUAAACUUCUUUUAAGAGGGAAGAGCAGAAGACGGUACCUCUUGAAUAAGCCACGGCUAACUACGUGCCAGCAGCCGCGGUAAUACGUGGGUGGCAAGCGUUGUCCGGAUUUACUGGGUGUAAAGGGCGUGCAGCCGGGAAGACAAGUCAGAUGUGAAAUCCCGCGGCUCAACCGCGGAACUGCAUUUGAAACUGUUUUUCUUGAGCACCGGAGAGGUCAUCGGAAUUCCUUGUGUAGCGGUGAAAUGCGUAGAUAUAAGGAAGAACACCAGUGGCGAAGGCGGAUGACUGGACGGCAACUGACGGUGAGGCGCGAAAGCGUGGGGAGCAAACAGGAUUAGAUACCCCAGUA